AGAGUUUGAUCCUGGCUCAGGAUGAACGCUGGCGGCGUGCCUAAUACAUGCAAGUCGAACGAGGUGCUUUUGUAGCAAUACGAGAGUAUCCUAGUGGCGAACGGGUGAGUAACGCGUUGGUGACCUACCCCAAAGUGUGGGAUAACAGUCCGAAAGGAUUGCUAAUACCGCAUGUGGUCAUUGGAUUUAGAAACCGAUGUCUAAAGGAGCAAUUCGCUUUGGGAGGGACCUGCGUCCCAUCAGCUAGUUGGUGAGGUAACGGCUCACCAAGGCGACGACGGGUAGGGGACCUGAGAGGGUGACCCCCCACAAUGGAACUGAAACACGGUCCAUACACCUACGGGUGGCAGCAGUAGGGAAUAUUGCUCAAUGGGCGAAAGCCUGAAGCAGCAACGCCGCGUGUGUGAUGAAGGCCUUCGGGUCGUAAAGCACUUUUCUGGGAGAUGAGAAAGGACAGUAUCCCAGGAAUAAGUCUCGGCUAACUACGUGCCAGCCGCCGCGGUAAUUC
This 508-nucleotide ribosomal RNA is filed under the name uncultured bacterium. Its description in RNAcentral is "bacterial SSU rRNA". It matches the Rfam family "Bacterial small subunit ribosomal RNA", at positions 8 to 526 of the family's 1533-position model. The record is from RNAcentral.